GCGAACUGAUUAGAAGCUUCCUUCUAUUACGUUAGCGGCGGACGGGUGAGUAACACGUGGGCAACCUGCCUGUAAGACUGGGAUAACUUCGGGAAACCGAAGCUAAUACCGGAUAGGAUCUUCUCCCUCAUGGGAGAUGAUUGAAAGAUGGUUUCGGCUAUCACUUACAGAUGGGCCCGCGGUGCAUUAGCUAGUUGGUGAGGUAACGGCUCACCAAGGCAACGAUGCAUAGCCGACCUGAGAGGGUGAUCGGCCACACUGGGACUGAGACACGGCCCAGACUCCUACGGGAGGCAGCAGUAGGGAAUCUUCCGCAAUGGACGAAAGUCUGACGGAGCAACGCCGCGUGAGUGAUGAAGGCUUUCGGGUCGUAAAACUCUGUAGUUAGGGAAGAACAAGUACAAGAGUAACUGCUUGUACCUUGACGGUACCUAACCAGAAAGCCAC
RNAcentral lists this ribosomal RNA (447 nucleotides) under uncultured Bacillus sp. RNAcentral's name for it is "bacterial SSU rRNA". It matches the Rfam family "Bacterial small subunit ribosomal RNA", at positions 66 to 494 of the family's 1533-position model. Lineage: Bacteria; Bacillati; Bacillota; Bacilli; Caryophanales; Bacillaceae. The record is from RNAcentral.